GACUGGGUUUGAGGGGUCUACAGAGAGCUGCAGAGAAUCCCUCCCCAAGUCCCAGACAGAGAGCUACAGGCAGGGGCAGCAACCCAGGCCACAGCUGGACUUGGGCAGCGCCCUGUAGGAUUCCCAGGGAGGGACAGGGGGACCCUGGAGCACAAAUGCCUGUGAAGUAGUCGUCAGGAAGACACAGUGACCUGAUUGGGGCAUCUAAGCCCGAGGGAACCUUUCCAUGCUUGCUUCCCUACACUGGACAGCCAGACCCACUCUCCCCGACUGCUUGCACUGCAGGCUACCUGAAAUCAACGUGCACUCUGCCAGCUGCAACCCAAACAAAAGACAGAGAGCUUGCUCAGAAGCACAGAAGCAUCUGGUCUUUCUACAACCAACUCCUCCCGGAGAAUAAAAGAAUCAAAGAGGCCGGCAGUGUGCUGAAUCGAACGCCAGAGGGAGACAAACUUACAAAGGACUCUGGAUCAGAGUCUUCUGUCCUUGUUUUCCAAGGAGCCUGCCCCUCUGAGUCAUCGCUAUAGUAAGACAUGGAGCCUUGAUGUACCAGCUUCAGAGCAGAGAUCUCGUACAAUCCUGUGUUCAACUGCAGAGUAGCUGAGUUUGCAUGCACAGGAGUGAAGGUCUGCGAGGAUGCACACUAUAGACAGAGCUGACAUGCCUGCAUUUCGAUAUAUGUGAGCACGCCCACCUGCCACACCUAUGGAACACCUACAGGUAUAUUUGUAUGAGCUGGAUGCGUUCAGGGGCCCAUGGAAGAUAGAAGAUGUCAUAGGCCCUGGAGCCAGAGUAGCAGGCAGUUAUGAGCUGCAAGCCAUGGGUGCUAGGAACCACAUCGGGUCCUCUGAAAGCUCAGCAAGCACUCCCACGUGCAAGGCCAUCUCUCCAGCCCACGCUCUCUCCUUCCUCGACUUUUCAUGGACUCAACGAUACUUUCCACUGAGUUCUGUUAUCUUUCCUUUUGCUGCUGCCUUAGUUACUGUUCUAACACUGAGACACCAUGGCCAAGGCAACUUACAGAUGAAGCAUUUAAUUAGGGGCUUGCCUACAGUUUCAGAGGGAGAGUCUGUGAUCAUCACUGUGGGGAGCAAAGCAUUAGGUAAGCAGGCCUGGCACUAAAACAGUAGUAGAGGCUGACAUCCUGAUCCACAGACAGGAGGCAGACAAUGAGAGACUGGGCACGAAGUGGACUUUUGAAAGUAACCUCAAAGCUCACCUUUAAUGACAGACUUCCUCCAACAAGGCCACACCUCCUAAUCCUGCCUAAACAAUCUACCAACUGAAAACCAAACAUUCAAAUUGAUGAGCAGCCUACAUGGGGGUAGGGAGGCCCUCUCAUUCAAAUCACCAGAGUAGCAGCACAGCAUACUUAAGGUCAGAAGAACACCUGAACAGAAAUCGGCCUUUGUGUCAUUUCUAAAAGCAGGUUGCUAGACCCCACCCUAUGUACACUGAACCUCCAAAUCAGCUGUAAGAUUCCAUCUGUGAAUAAAAUACUGGGUGAUUUUACUCAAAAGCUCAAGUCACCAAACAUCCUUCUUUACCUACAUCCCAAGUGUACACAGACAUAAGAAUAGUACAGGCAUUCACUCCACCAUUCCUAUGACCACUCCUAUGAUGUUAAUAAGAAAUGUUCCCUUAAAGGCUCGUGUGUCAAACACCUGGGCCCCAGCUGCUGGCAAUGUUUUUGGGAGGUUCUAAAAAAAGUAAAGAGAUGAAACAUAUUUGGAAAAAGCAAGACUUUGAGGGUUGGACUGGUCCUGGCCAAUCUCUCAUUCUCACUUCCUGUCCACCAAGAGAGGAGCAGCCUCUGCCACAUGCUCCUCUGUCCAUGAUGCUCUCUCUGUCCAAGAGCAUAGGAUGACAAAUCACCCUGAUGUGAAAUUAUGAGUAAAAUAAAUUCCUCCUCAUUUAGUUGAUAUCACACAAUAUAACAAUGAGAAAAAGAGCUAUUACGAUAUAGCCUGUCAUGGAUUUAAUAUGAAUGGUCCCAUAGGCUCAUAUAUUUGAAUAAGUGGUCCUUAGAUAGUAGUGCCACUUGAGAGAGACCUUGGAGGUGUAACCUUGUGAGAGGAAGUGUGUCCUUGGGGGUGGGAUCUGGAUUUCAAAUGCCUAAGCUAGGCCAGUGUCUCUCUCUUCCUGCUACCUCCCAAUCUGGAUGUAGAACUCUCAGGUAUCUCUCCAGAAGCAUGUCUGCCUCCAUGCUGCCGUAUUCCCUCCAUGAUGAUAAUGGACUGGACCUCUGAACUGUAAGCCAGCCCCAAUUAAAUAUUUUCCUUU
RNAcentral lists this long non-coding RNA (2283 nucleotides) under Mus musculus (house mouse). Its description in RNAcentral is "RIKEN cDNA 3200001D21 gene". Lineage: Eukaryota; Metazoa; Chordata; Mammalia; Rodentia; Muridae. The record is from RNAcentral.